GAGGGUAUAGCUCAGUGUGGGAGAGUGCAUGCUUAGCAUGCAUGAGGUCCUGGGUUCAAUCCCCCGGACCUCCA
This 74-nucleotide transfer RNA is filed under the name Camelus bactrianus (Bactrian camel). It matches the Rfam family "tRNA". From Rfam's summary of the family: Transfer RNA (tRNA) molecules are approximately 80 nucleotides in length. Their secondary structure includes four short double-helical elements and three loops (D, anti-codon, and T loops). Further hydrogen bonds mediate the characteristic L-shaped molecular structure. tRNAs have two regions of fundamental functional importance: the anti-codon, which is responsible for specific mRNA codon recognition, and the 3' end, to which the tRNAs corresponding amino acid is attached (by aminoacyl-tRNA synthetases). tRNAs cope with the degeneracy of the genetic code in two manners: having more than one tRNA (with a specific anti-codon) for a particular amino acid; and 'wobble' base-pairing, i.e. permitting non-standard base-pairing at the 3rd anti-codon position. Lineage: Eukaryota; Metazoa; Chordata; Mammalia; Artiodactyla; Camelidae. RNAcentral also lists the same sequence under 2 other names. The record is from Rfam by way of RNAcentral.